Molecule: small nuclear RNA, 113 nt
Filed under: Mus pahari (shrew mouse)
Lineage: Eukaryota; Metazoa; Chordata; Mammalia; Rodentia; Muridae
Source: RNAcentral
CUGCUCCCUCUGCAGCACAUAUAUUAAAAUUGGAAAGAUACAGGUAAGAGGUCAGAGGAGUAUGGCCCCUACGCAAAGAUGACACACAAAUUUGUAAAGCGUUCCGUAUUUUU